GACGAAGGAUGCAAGCGUUAUCCGGAUUCAUUGGGCUUAAAGGGAGCGUAGGUGGCCUUAUAAGUCAGUUGUGAAAUCUCUGGGCUUAACCCAGAAAUUGCCAUUGAUACUGUAGGGCUUGAGUAUAGUUGCCGUUGGCGGAAUAUGACAUGUAGUGGUGAAAUACAUAGAGAUGUCAUAGAACACCGAUUGCGAAGGCAGCUAACGAAACUAUAACUGACACUGAGGCUCGAAAGUGCGGGGAUCAAACAGG
This 253-nucleotide ribosomal RNA is filed under the name uncultured bacterium. RNAcentral describes it as "partial 16S ribosomal RNA". It matches the Rfam family "Bacterial small subunit ribosomal RNA", at positions 524 to 776 of the family's 1533-position model. The record is from RNAcentral.